CUGAAAAUCACUUUCGUGAGUGGACCCUCUGACUAAAUAUUGUAAUUAAUAUUAUUAUUAUUAACUAGUGGCCUACAUUAAAAAGCCUGAAAAGGUUUCCAGUAGGUCUCUAGCCCAACAUCUUCAAACUACACAUAGUUUUUGUUACUUAUUAUUGUACAUACACAUGGGAAAUAAAUAUUGAUUGAUUGAUUGAUUGAUAUUUGGCAGUGACAUGUUCAUCGGUGAGCUGACUGGUGAAUGGGUGAUGCAGAGGAUUGGUGACGAGGUUGUUGUCGUCACAAGAGCGAUGUUUUUAAUUCGGCUGGAUUUUUUUGUUCAUUUUAAUUAAGUUUGGUGAAAACAUGUGUAUUGAGGGUAAAUUCCAAUGUCAUAUGAUAUUUUAAAUAGACUCUGCGACUACAUGUUCAAAUAUUUUUCUAUUGUUCUGGAGUUUUCCUCGAACGCUUCCAAACGUUUACACGUAUUGUUGACGUUGAUACAAUCAGCUCUCGUUGAAUUAACUGGUAAAAAGUUGAUUUUUUCAAAUGUAUAUCACACAUACGCAACUCGAAUUUGUUUUUUCCCUACGAAUCCGAACAAGAGGUCGUCCUGACCACAGAUUAAGUAUGAACAGAUGUGUAAAUUCAGCAAAAACGUUGUCCCAUGCACGGUCGCCAUCUUCCUAGCAAGUGUCGCUCGCGUGAUAAUUCGUUAUCUAGUAAAAGGAAUGGUAGUACAGAUGAUACGCCGCCAUUUUCCUAGCAAGUAUCAAGGCGUGUGCAGCUUGAAGAAAUUUGAGGACAGGAAGUCCUAUGCAUAGAUAUGUUAUAUACACUAGAUAGUGCAUCUAAUUAUUCUGCAAUUCAAAAAUUGAAGGGGUGAUUGCAGAUUCAGAAUAUUCCCAUGAAGUG
Paramuricea clavata is the source of this 893-nucleotide non-coding RNA. The record is from the annotation of a GenBank genome assembly. NCBI's taxonomy places the organism in Eukaryota, Metazoa, Cnidaria, Anthozoa, Malacalcyonacea, Plexauridae.